UCAAAACAGCGGACUUCGGUCCUUGCUGCACCCUUGUCUUUUGCGUACCGUAUGUUCCCUCGGCGGGCUUGCCUGCCGGUUGGACAUUAUCAAACCUUUUUGUAGUUGCAAUCAGCGUCAGAAAAUAAUAAUAAUUA
RNAcentral lists this unclassified non-coding RNA (137 nucleotides) under soil metagenome. RNAcentral describes it as "partial internal transcribed spacer 1". The record is from RNAcentral.